RNAcentral lists this transfer RNA (73 nucleotides) under Candidatus Altarchaeales archaeon HGW-Altarchaeales s-1. RNAcentral's name for it is "Candidatus Altiarchaeales archaeon HGW-Altiarchaeales-1 tRNA-Pro". It matches the Rfam family "tRNA". Rfam says of the family: Transfer RNA (tRNA) molecules are approximately 80 nucleotides in length. The record is from RNAcentral. RNAcentral also lists the same sequence under 1 other name. Lineage: Archaea; Nanobdellati; Candidatus Altarchaeota; Candidatus Altarchaeia; Candidatus Altarchaeales.
GGGGCCGUAGGGUAGUUUGGUAUCCUACCAGCUUGGGGUGCUGGCGACCUGAGUUCAAAUCUCGGCGGCCCCA